GACGAACGCUGGCGGCGUGCCUAAUACAUGCAAGUAGAACGCACAGUUUAUACCGUAGCUUGCUACACCAUAGACUGUGAGUUGCGAACGGGUGAGUAACGCGUAGGUAACCUGCCUGGUAGCGGGGGAUAACUAUUGGAAACGAUAGCUAAUACCGCAUAAUAUUAAUUAUUGCAUGAUAAUUAAUUGAAAGGUGCAAUUGCACCACUACCAGAUGGACCUGCGUUGUAUUAGCUAGUAGGUGAGGUAACGGCUCACCUAGGCGACGAUACAUAGCCGACCUGAGAGGGUGAUCGGCCACACUGGGACUGAGACACGGCCCAGACUCCUACGGGAGGCAGCAGUAGGGAAUCUUCGGCAAUGGACGAAAGUCUGACCGAGCAACGCCGCGUGAGUGAAGAAGGUUUUCGGAUCGUAAAGCUCUGUUGUAAGAGAAGAACGGGUGUGAGAGUGGAAAGUUCACACUGUGACGGUAUCUUACCAGAAAGGGACGGCUAACUACGUGCCAGCAGCCGCGGUAAUACGUAGGUCCCGAGCGUUGUCCGGAUUUAUUGGGCGUAAAGCGAGCGCAGGCGGUUAGAUAAGUCUGAAGUUAAAGGCUGUGGCUUAACCAUAGUACGCUUUGGAAACUGUUUAACUUGAGUGCAGAGGGGGAGAGUGGAAUUCCAUGUGUAGCGGUGAAAUGCGUAGAUAUAUGGAGGAACACCGGUGGCGAAAGCGGCUCUCUGGUCUGUAACUGACGCUGAGGCUCGAAAGCGUGGGGAGCGAAACAGG
This 774-nucleotide ribosomal RNA is filed under the name uncultured Streptococcus sp. RNAcentral's name for it is "bacterial SSU rRNA". It matches the Rfam family "Bacterial small subunit ribosomal RNA", at positions 28 to 776 of the family's 1533-position model. Lineage: Bacteria; Bacillati; Bacillota; Bacilli; Lactobacillales; Streptococcaceae. The record is from RNAcentral.